Small nuclear RNA from Rattus norvegicus (Norway rat), 62 nucleotides. Ensembl annotates it as RNA, U7 small nuclear 62. Its record names the gene Rnu7-62. Lineage: Eukaryota; Metazoa; Chordata; Mammalia; Rodentia; Muridae. The record is from Ensembl.
UGAAGUUAUAGCCCUUUUAGAAUUUGUUUAGCAGGUUUUCUGACCAAAGUCAGAAAACCUAA